This 683-nucleotide ribosomal RNA is filed under the name Leucobacter sp. INBio3686I. RNAcentral describes it as "bacterial SSU rRNA". It matches the Rfam family "Bacterial small subunit ribosomal RNA", at positions 105 to 801 of the family's 1533-position model. Lineage: Bacteria; Bacillati; Actinomycetota; Actinomycetes; Micrococcales; Microbacteriaceae. The record is from RNAcentral.
GGUGAGUAACACGUGAGUAACCUGCCCCGAACUCUGGGAUAAGCGCUGGAAACGGCGUCUAAUACUGGAUAUGUCCCAUCACCGCAUGGUGUGUGGGUGGAAAGAUUUAUCGGUUCGGGAUGGACUCGCGGCCUAUCAGCUUGUUGGUGAGGUAAUGGCUCACCAAGGCGACGACGGGUAGCCGGCCUGAGAGGGUGACCGGCCACACUGGGACUGAGACACGGCCCAGACUCCUACGGGAGGCAGCAGUGGGGAAUAUUGCACAAUGGGCGCAAGCCUGAUGCAGCAACGCCGCGUGAGGGAUGACGGCCUUCGGGUUGUAAACCUCUUUUAGUAGGGAAGAAGCGAAAGUGACGGUACCUGCAGAAAAAGCACCGGCUAACUACGUGCCAGCAGCCGCGGUAAUACGUAGGGUGCAAGCGUUGUCCGGAAUUAUUGGGCGUAAAGAGCUCGUAGGCGGCUUGUCGCGUCUGCUGUGAAAACCCGAGGCUCAACCUCGGACCUGCAGUGGGUACGGGCAAGCUAGAGUGCGGUAGGGGAGAUUGGAAUUCCUGGUGUAGCGGUGGAAUGCGCAGAUAUCAGGAGGAACACCGAUGGCGAAGGCAGAUCUCUGGGCCGUAACUGACGCUGAGGAGCGAAAGCAUGGGGAGCGAACAGGAUUAGAUACCCUGGUAGUCCAUGCC